This 497-nucleotide ribosomal RNA is filed under the name uncultured bacterium. RNAcentral describes it as "partial 16S ribosomal RNA". It matches the Rfam family "Bacterial small subunit ribosomal RNA", at positions 28 to 507 of the family's 1533-position model. The record is from RNAcentral.
GAUGAACGCUGGCGGCGUGCCUAAUACAUGCAAGUCGAGCGAACGGACGAGAAGCUUGCUUCUCUGAUGUUAGCGGCGGACGGGUGAGUAACACGUGGAUAACCUACCUAUAAGACUGGGAUAACUUCGGGAAACCGGAGCUAAUACCGGAUAAUAUUUUGAACCGCAUGGUUCAAAAGUGAAAGACGGUCUUGCUGUCACUUAUAGAUGGAUCCGCGCUGCAUUAGCUAGUUGGUAAGGUAACGGCUUACCAAGGCAACGAUGCAUAGCCGACCUGAGAGGGUGAUCGGCCACACAUGAACUGAGACACGGUCCAGACUCCUACGGGAGGCAGCAGUAGGGAAUCUUCCGCAAUGGGCGAAAUCCUGACGGAGCAACGCCGCUGGAGUGAUGAAGGUCUUCGGAUCGUAAAACUUUGUUAUUAGGGAAGAACAUAUGUGUAAGUAACUGUGCACAUCUUGACGGUACCUAAUCAGAAAGCCACGGCUAACUACGUG